RNAcentral lists this long non-coding RNA (226 nucleotides) under Salvia miltiorrhiza (redroot sage). RNAcentral's name for it is "long non-coding RNA (SMIL_LNC009233)". The record is from RNAcentral. Lineage: Eukaryota; Viridiplantae; Streptophyta; Magnoliopsida; Lamiales; Lamiaceae.
AGGAACUCACUCCAUCACCUUAGGCUUAAUCAUCCAAGAUUUUAAGUCCAAAGGCUGUGAUGUCUGUUUAUAAACCUGCGUCCAGCUCCACGUUCUUGUCUUGAUCUCGGUAACCACUUUUGAAAUGUUCCAUGACGCUUGGCUAAAAAUACAGUCAUUCCUUGCUUUCCAAAUACUCCACACCACGCAGAUCCAAACACUAGACAGAAAAUGAUUAUCUGCCUUA